GACAAACGCUGGCGGCGUGCCUAACACAUGCAAGUCAAGGAGAAUGGGAGUUUUCGGAUUCCCUAGUAAACUGGCGUAAGGGUGAGGAACGCGUAGGCAAUCUGCCCUUGAGUGGGGAAUAACCCCGCGAAAGCGGGGAUAAUACCGCAUGACGUUCCGCCUCCGCAUGGAGGCGGAAUUAAAGAUUUAUCGCUCAAGGAUGAACCUGCGUCCUAUUAGCUUGUUGGUAGGGUAACGGCCUACCAAGGCGACGAUGGGUAGCUGGUCUGAGAGGAUGAUCAGCCACACUGGCACUGAGACACGGGCCAGACUCCUACGGGAGGCUG
This 326-nucleotide ribosomal RNA is filed under the name uncultured Deferribacteres bacterium. Its description in RNAcentral is "bacterial SSU rRNA". It matches the Rfam family "Bacterial small subunit ribosomal RNA", at positions 28 to 351 of the family's 1533-position model. Lineage: Bacteria; Pseudomonadati; Deferribacterota; Deferribacteres. The record is from RNAcentral.